RNAcentral lists this long non-coding RNA (2572 nucleotides) under Sus scrofa (pig). RNAcentral's name for it is "lncRNA (ENSSSCG00025033535.1)". The record is from RNAcentral. Lineage: Eukaryota; Metazoa; Chordata; Mammalia; Artiodactyla; Suidae.
ACAGAACCACAAGUUGGGUAGCCUGGCAGUGUCAGAAGUCUGAGCCCAGCAUAGUGGUCAGCAGGCAGGACCAAUCACACUGGCUGCAAACCACAGGGUUUCAUAGAACAUCAUCAAGCCACGGCCAAGACGCCGCUCUUUUUUUUUUUUUAAAUCUUUAACAAUUUGAAUAUUUGUCUUCGUGAAGGUAGAAGAAAUCAUUGAAUCCCCCGCCUUCAGAAGAGGGUGCCUUUUCAGGAGGAAGCGAUGGCUUCAGACAGCAUAUUUGAGUCAUUUCCUUCAUACUCACAGUGCUUCAUGAGAGGUGAAUACUGAAGUGGCAGCCUGUUGGAACUCGGGGCAGAGAGCCCCUGUCUGUUUUGUGGGAGGAAUUCAAACUCGGGCAUAUGAUUACAAGGCUAUUGGAUUACUUAUUCAUCAGAUGGCUGCUUUUCAGAAAUGUUUUAAGAAAUACCGUGUUAAGCUGUUGACGUGUUCCGUCGGUGCGUGAGCGCUUUGUCAAGUUCAAGUGAAUUAGGCUGCUCCCGAUGAAAAGCCUAGAGAUUAUAAAGCCUGCAGGAAGCUCUCUGUGUUUUCUUUGGUUGCCCCUGGCCUGAGAGGACGGUGGCUGAGUUGUCCUGAGUUCGGCGUGCUGUGUGGCCCACACCCCAGCCUGGCCAGAGCUUUAGCGGGGCACAUGCACAGCUGGCCAAGGAGGGCUGGUGCCAGGGUGGUGCGGAGGCGGAGGUAGGCUUCCAGCCCGGGGAAGGAACAGCGGGGACAAAGUUGCAAGUCAGUUGUCUCCAAAAGGCAGAGAGUACAGUAGCCGGACAGGCUGGUCUAGGUUGAAAGCCCCAAGACGGGGCUGUGCUGGGUUACUCCUUGCAACCUCAGUGCAAUGAAGCAGCCGGCAUCUUUCAAGAGAGAAAGCAGAUAAAGCGUACAGAGAUCUCUCUCUCCAAGUGCAAUGAAGGAUUUUCCAAAGUCAAGUGUUUGUGGCUGCCGAAGUCACUAGAUUGCAUGCUUCCUAAAAGAAGUACCUGUCUGCAUUUCUGCAACUGGUCUCUUGAAAUGUGCAAAGCUAUAGUUGAGCUCUAAGUGUGUGAGUACGUGUGGGUGCAUGUGUGUUUUGUGCAUCUUUGGUGGAGAAACAGGGCCGUGCUUAACCAAAUGAAAAUAAUAACAUAGAAAUGUCCCCAAAGCAUUGCAGUGUGUCGAGGCAAGCACUUUGACCGGUGCCUGCAGAGUGUGGCUUGAUGGUUUGGCAGAGUUGAGACAGAGUGGGAUGGAUGGGAUGGGGGGAUAAUUAAUUUUCUGGCUACAAACUCAAGAGCACACCCCAAAUAGUAUCUGUGACUCAUUAUUUAUUCAUACAGCCAAGUGAGCAGAAGAAUGCAGAAGGCAGAGGGCUGCCAGCCACUUUGUCACAACAAACGCUAUUGUGGAUGCCACAGAGCCUCUAUGUUUCCGGGUUUCUUGAAAUUUAAACACUUGGCAAAGAUGUGUGUGUGUGUGUGUGUGUGUGUGUGUGUGUGUGUGUGUGUGUGUGUUGGGGGGUGGUGUUCAGGAGAAGGGGAAGAAAGCAAGUCAUUAACCGAUUCAAAGCUUCAAAUUAAAGGGUUUUCAAGUGCUUCUUUACUGGCAGCUGAGGACAUUUUAGUGAAGUUGAAUCAUGCGAUGCUUAUGAGUCACACAUCCUCAGGGCGCUGGGCUCCCCAGGCAGAAACGCCAGCCACUGGUGAGAAGCUGUGAACGGCUCUCUCUCUCGCUGCAUUUCCUCUGGGCCGCUAACAAGCAAAGGAAGCAAUAUUUGUAGAAUUACAGAAAAAAAAAAAAAGAUCUUCCUGCUUGACUCUUCUUUCAAUACCCACUCCAACUCAGGAAGGCAGAUUCAGGAAAUUUUUGAAACGUUCCACAGGAUGAUAGAUUGGAAUUCCACGUGGGUGCUGGCCUGCCUUCUGUGCUUCCAGAAUGGACAGAGAUAGCAAGGGGACCUAGUGACCCACGUAGACGCCGGGAGAGAAGCAGCCCGGCAGCUAAUCCAGCCCCUGCAGCCACUGCGUAACCUGGACUGUCACUCAUGCCCCCCCACCCCAGGUUAGGAAAUGGGGACAGUUAGCUUUCAAGGGGGGCCAUGUGGAGGGGACUUUAAGACCACCACCCCCCAACCAAUACUCAAAAGGCUCAUAGGAAAUGGGCCUUUCAUGCCUUCCUGUCAGUAAAAAGAGCUCAGGGCCUUUCCUAAUCUCUAACUCAAGAACAUAAUAUUGAGAUUUCAUUGCAGAGAAUAAAAGUGAAAACCUUGGCCAUUUCAUAGCUAACUUGACCAAGGUGAUUCAUCAGUCUGAGAGCUUAUACUAUCCGGGCUAACUGUCCACACCACUCCUCCGAGCUGGAAGGUGCCAAAAUGUCCCGGUUUAGGGGUCCCAUGUGGGCAUCGCCUUAGAGCAUGAUGCCAAAUGGUCUCCUCAAAGUUGGGACCUUUGUUUGCCCAGCCUGGCCAUCAGUGGGACUCAGAACUGUGGUCCUUUCUCACUGCCUGUCAUUUAUAGUGCGUGUCCCCUCCCCAACUGCAGCUCUGAGCGAGCAGGGG